RNAcentral lists this unclassified non-coding RNA (1414 nucleotides) under Hevea brasiliensis (rubber tree). Lineage: Eukaryota; Viridiplantae; Streptophyta; Magnoliopsida; Malpighiales; Euphorbiaceae. The record is from RNAcentral.
GAAAUUCUUCUCUCUGUCUUUCCACUCUCUUCUCCUCUUUCCAGAAAUAUGAAAUUCUUGGCAUUGUAAUGGUGCUCUUCUCUUAUUAGAUCCCUUUGUUCUUACUUCCUGAAGAAUGAAGAGGAGAGAAGCAAAACUAACAACCACGGACAAUCCCUUUAGCACUCUCCUCCUCUUCCUCCUCAGGCUUCUAGUCGCCUCUUCUGUAACCCACAUCAGAUUGGACACCUCCGAUCACCGCUACUAGGAGGGUGACCAUGCUCCUCUCUGUGCCAACAAGGUUAACUUUUUCAGAACCCCAGUUCUUCCCACCACUGCAGCGAAGUCUUGGUCUACAUAAAUAAUUUUAAGGAAGCACAUGACGCUAAUGCAAUCCCCAAUAGUGUCAGCUUCAUUUUGCUUCCCCUAUAUAAUGAUGCAAAUUCUCUUGUUAGCAAAGGAAAAAGAAUUAAAGAAAAGUUGCCAAUUUUUGGUCACUUGACACAGAAAUGGCUGAAGGGCACACCCAAGGAACCCAAUGGGUGAACCCUCAGCAGGAAAUUCGGCAACCAGGGGAAACCAUCCAUGGUGGAAACACUGAAAUUGAGAACUUCCAAACAGGGAAUUAUGUUCAUGGAGGAAACAAUCAAGGAGAAAAUUACCAGGGAGGCAAUUUCCCACAAGUGGGGAUUGAAGGAGGUAAUGUCCAAGAUGGAAAUGGUGGACCAAACCUCCAACUUAGCAGCAUACCCCAAUGCACCUGGAACCUGCAAGGUUCCACCAUAAGGCCUCAAUCCUGCAGCCCUUUAUGUGUGAACCCCUAUUUCUGGGGAAAUCCUUCCUUGGUGAGCCCUAUAUGUGGUAACCCCUAUUUGAUGAACCCUUAUUAUUGGGUGAAUCCUCAGUGGGUGAACUUUCAAUGCGGCAACCCACAAUGUUGGCACCCACAAUGUAUAAACCAACAGAACGGGAAUGCCUUGAGACCCUCUUGGGCUCCUCAGCAAGGAGAAAGCAGCCAAGAAUCCCAUCUGGAGAACCCAGAAGAGGGAAAUUCUCAGGCAAGAAAUUUCCAAGGAGAAGCACAAAAUGUCACAGAAGGUAACAAAAAAGCUCAGAGUGGAUCUUGGGUUUAUCCAUCGUUCUUGGAACCUUCAUACAGAUGGAUCCUCCAUAAAGCUGACGUCGUUGGCCGCCAGUUAUCAAACUAUCUCCGGCAUCCUAACAUAUUAGACGUGUUACUAUAUUGGGGAUUGGCCUUGUGUGUUUGUUGGAUGGCCAUAUAUUUUUAUAGUCAUCUUAUGGGAGGUUUUCAUUUUGAAUUUAGAAUAAAAUGAGGUGUGAAAAAACACUUUGGUUUUCUUUAUCGGGCAGAUUAUUAGGUAAAUUGGAUGUAUAAGAAUUUAGUAUUCCUUACACUCUAUCAGCAUUUAUGUGG